This 257-nucleotide long non-coding RNA is filed under the name Anas platyrhynchos platyrhynchos (common mallard). RNAcentral's name for it is "lncRNA (ENSAPLG00000025085.1)". Lineage: Eukaryota; Metazoa; Chordata; Aves; Anseriformes; Anatidae. The record is from RNAcentral.
UGGAGAACAAGAGAGGUUUUUCACUUGGAUUUCCUUGUGGGAUUGCUUGAUUAUAUGGAGAAAAAAGGGUCCCACAUAUUUGCAAGUGUCCAGGAUGAGUUCUUCACUUAUUUCACAAGCAGUUUUUCAGGUAACUGUCCACUAAUAAAGGAUGGAAGCUGGGACUCCCCAUCAGAAACUCAGGCCAAAGUCUCUGUCUCACUUUCAACACAGCCAUGGAUUACCCUUGGAAAAUUAUAAACUGUACCCAAAUUAAG